GCUUAGCCCUAAACAUUAAUAGCACAUCACACAAGCUAUUCGCCAGGGGACUACGGGCAUAAGCUCAAAACCCAAAGGACUUGGCGGUGCUUAAGACCCACCUAGAGGAGCCUGUUCUAGAACCGAUACCCCCCGUUCAACCUCACCCUCUCUUGACCCUUCCGCCUAUAUACCGCCGUCGUCAGCUUACCCUGUGAAGGAGCCAUAAUAAGCAAAACUGGCACAGCCUAAAACGUCAGGUCGAGGUGCAGCCCAUGAGAGGGGAAGAAAUGGGCUACAUUGAUUGCUUUAAUCAAUACGAAUGAUGCCCUGAAACAUGCAUCUGAAGGAGGAUUUAGUAGUAAGCAAAGAAUAGAGUGCUCCGCUGAAUCAGGCCCUAAAGCGCGCACACACCGCCCGUCAUUCUCCCCUGUCCAAUCCUUUUCAUAUAAUUAAUAUGCCCCCAUCCAUUGAGGGGAGGCAAGUCGUAACAUGGUAAGUGUACCGGAAGGUGUACUUGGGCAAACCAGAACGUAGCCAAAAUAGUAAAGCACCUCACUUACACCGAGAGAUUGUCCGUGCAAGUCGGAUCGCUCUGAACCAAACAGCUAGCCCACCCCCCUGAAACCAAAAACCAUUAUGAAUGCCCCCUAAAACACAAUCACAGACAUAAUCAAAUCAUUUUACCUCCUAAGUACGGGCGACGGAAAAGGAGCCCGGAGCCAUAGACAAAGUACCGCAAGGGAACGCUGAAAGAGAUAUGAAACAGCUCAGUAAAGUAACAAGAAGCAGAGAUUAAUACUCGUACCUUUUGCAUCAUGAUUUAGCCAGUACCCCCGGGCAAAGAGAACUUUAGUCCGCCCCCCCGAAACUAAGGGAGCUACUCCAAGACAGCCUAAUUGAGGGCCAACCCGUCUCUGUGGCAAAAGAGUGGGAAGAGCUUUGAGUAGAGGUGACAAAUCUACCGAACUUAGUAAUAGCUGGUUGCCUGAGAAAUGAAUAGGAGUUCAGCCUUCUAACUUCUCCCCUCACACGCUUUGACUCACCAGACACAAAGAAGUUAGAAGAGUUAAUCGAGGGGGGUACAGCCCCCUCGAACAAGAAACAACUUUUAUAGCCGGGUAAAGAUCAAAAUAAUCUAAGGAAACAUAUCUUAGUGGGCUUAAAAGCAGCCAUCUAAGUAGAAAGCGUUAAAGCUCAGACAUGCCCUCCCCCUUCCACCAAUACCGAUAACAGCAUCUAAACCCUCUGCCUCUACCAGGCUGUUUUAUGCAAACAUAAAAGCACCCCUGCUAAUAUGAGUAAUAAGAAAGGUCUAAAGCCUUUCUCCCAGCACGCACAUACAUCGAAACGGACCUUCCACCGAAUAUUACCGGCCCCAACCAAAGAGGGAAACGAGCAACUAACAAACAACCAGAAAAUCACCCCAAAAAAGACCGUUAAGCCCACACUGGCGUGCUCACUAGGAAAGACCCAAAGAAGAAGAAGGAACUCGGCAAGCACACUAGCCUCGCCUGUUUACCAAAAACAUCGCCUCUUGUAAACCAAAAAUAAGAGGUCCCGCCUGCCCAGUGACAAUAUGUUCAACGGCCGCGGUAUUCUGACCGUGCAAAGGUAGCGCAAUCACUUGUCUUUUAAAUGAAGGCCCGUAUGAAUGGCAUAACGAGGGCUAGACUGUCUCCUUUUUCCGGUCAAUGAAAUUGAUCUCCCCGUGCAGAAGCGGGGCUGAACCCAUAAGACGAGAAGACCCUGUGGAGCUUUAGACGCCAGGUCAGACCUAAUUCAACACCCCCCAAUAAAGGGAACAACCAAAGGAUCCUGUCCUAAUGUCUUCGGUUGGGGCGACCCCGGAGAACACAAAACCUCCACGCGGAACAGGAGAACCUCUCCCACAACCAAGAGUGGCUACUCUAAGCAAUAGAAUUUCUAACCAAAAGAUCCGGCAAAGCCGAUCAACGAACUAAGUUACCCCAGGGAUAACAGCGCAAUCCUCUUUCAGAGUCCCUAUCGACAAGGGGGUUUACGACCUCGAUGUUGGAUCAGGACAUCCUAAUGGUGCAGCCGCUAUUAAGGGUUCGUUUGUUCAACGAUUAAAGUCCU
This 2079-nucleotide unclassified non-coding RNA is filed under the name Channa sp. Rakhine Yoma. Its description in RNAcentral is "partial contains 12S small subunit ribosomal RNA, tRNA-Val, and 16S large subunit ribosomal RNA". The stretch from base 647 to 2079 matches the Rfam family "Bacterial large subunit ribosomal RNA", at positions 1 to 2597 of the family's 2925-position model. Lineage: Eukaryota; Metazoa; Chordata; Actinopteri; Anabantiformes; Channidae. The record is from RNAcentral.